This 26-nucleotide non-coding RNA is filed under the name Mus musculus (house mouse). Lineage: Eukaryota; Metazoa; Chordata; Mammalia; Rodentia; Muridae. The record is from RNAcentral.
UGUCAAGAUACAGGGAGGUCUCAUGC